RNAcentral lists this transfer RNA (73 nucleotides) under archaeon. RNAcentral's name for it is "tRNA-Asn". It matches the Rfam family "tRNA". Rfam says of the family: Transfer RNA (tRNA) molecules are approximately 80 nucleotides in length. Their secondary structure includes four short double-helical elements and three loops (D, anti-codon, and T loops). Further hydrogen bonds mediate the characteristic L-shaped molecular structure. tRNAs have two regions of fundamental functional importance: the anti-codon, which is responsible for specific mRNA codon recognition, and the 3' end, to which the tRNAs corresponding amino acid is attached (by aminoacyl-tRNA synthetases). tRNAs cope with the degeneracy of the genetic code in two manners: having more than one tRNA (with a specific anti-codon) for a particular amino acid; and 'wobble' base-pairing, i.e. permitting non-standard base-pairing at the 3rd anti-codon position. The record is from RNAcentral.
GUCUGGGUAGUUCAGUAGGUAGAACACUUGGCUGUUAACCAAGAUGUCGGAGGUUCGAGUCCUCCUCCAGACG